AAACAAACCGCUCGCUAACUAGCUAUUAAAUCAAUUUAAAGUAGUAAAUCAUAUAAAUAAAACAUGUUAAAUAGCGAUAACAAAUUAAAUGAAAAAUGAAAUUAAAGAAGUAGAUUAAACAUUUCAACUUUUCAAAGAAGAGGCACAAUAUUACACAACCAAGGCAAAAGAAUACAUAGCCAACAUACAUGCAAAAACAGUGUCACAAGAAGAUACAGUUGAGGCACGAUAUUUCACAGGUAAGGCGCUAAUAUACAAUAUCCAAUUAAAAAAACUAGGCGAUGAAUUAGAACAAUUAAAAGCUGAAUCCAAGAAUAAAUAAAAAUAUCCAAAAAAGGGGAAACAAACAAUGAAAACAAAUAUUGAAAACGAAAUUAAAGAAUUAAAAAAGAAUUUCAAUUAUCCAACAAAGAGAUACGCGAAAGCAUAACUAAAGCGAAAUCAUGUAUGUAUUGGGCGCAAGAAUACACAGCUAGGGCAGAAGAAGAAGACUUAACCAACAUAAAAGAAGCAAGUUAACGCAACUUGGGGACAAGCGCAUUUAAAAGUGAGCAAGAAUGUUAGUAAAUAAGACGCAAGAAUUAAAAGCAAAAAUAGAAAAACUAAAAAAUGAAUUAAACCAAAUUCAUUGUCAAAAAAUAAUUGAAAAAUUAGAAAUUAAAAAUAUUCUCACAAGUUUAUGACUGGGUAAGAAAGUAUAAUAGCGACGCUGAACGAGAAUUAG
Molecule: unclassified non-coding RNA, 724 nt
Filed under: Tomato taco leaf phytoplasma
Lineage: Bacteria; Bacillati; Mycoplasmatota; Mollicutes; Acholeplasmatales; Acholeplasmataceae
Description: Candidatus [Phytoplasma] tomato partial 16S-23S ribosomal RNA intergenic spacer
Source: RNAcentral